UGCUAUUACAUCACAUGUGUUUCAUAAUAUCAUCAGAAAUAUGGAUGUCUAAUACAUAAAUAUGUCUCAUACAUGCACAAUAAUCGGAGAAGUACCGAAAAUAUCAAAUAAACAUAUAAUAUAUAGUACAACGCAUGACGUGAAAGAACAAAUAAAGUACAUAAAAUACUUCUCUACGACUCAUACUCAUUUUCCAACCCUCGCAUGCUCUCGAUGAUGUGGUAAUACUCUCAACCUCGAUCGACAAAUCCAUCCUCCGACCCGGCUCCUAAUAGGGGGGGGGGCAAAUUGGUGAACAUAAUAGUAAAAAAACCCGUUGGGGUGCCUGCAUAUUGAGUAAAUAAACAGAAAUCAAUAACACAUCAGUUGCACAACAAUAUAAUGGAAACCAACCAAAAAUAGAUACGGUAUGAAACAUCAGGGCAUAUGGCUCAUCUGCGCGAGUGGGAACGAUGACUAGGUAUGUACGGCCGAGGUACCACUAGAUGCACUCAGGAUCGGCGUAACCGUCAAUAACUCUAGGUAUAUAGGGAGUGCUGAACCGCGGUAAGUACGUCAACCAGAGGUGCUGAUUGUAGUGAAUGUGUGAGUGCAUAUUGUCUCCCAUCCAUAGGCCUCCAUGUUAGCGUUAGAGUAAUAUCUGGUAACGUCUGUCGGUACCCAUACUAUCGAGGACACGAGUGGGAUCAUGCGGUCCAUAUAGCGAAAUACGUGUAUACCUUCACCAUAUAAGGACCACUUCGCUUCACCGUCGAACUGGUAGACCGAAAGGAAGCCACUCGAUAUGUCUGUGUGUCAUCCCAUUCAGAUGCCUAUGGAGCAUCUGCAACCUCUCAUCAACAUCCUAUGCUCUGGAAAUGAUACUAGGUCCAUCCCACCUCCCCGUAAGGGACUGGCUGCUCAAUCGUGGUGUAGGGGAUGUAGUAUGACACAAGCAUGAAUAGUAAUCGUAGAUCCAUGACUGUAGCAAAGUUAGGCAGCGACCUACUAAUGUAGAACUUGCCCGAGAGGCAAGCCCGAGCGCCGGUAUGAAUAGGCAAGUGUAACUGACCGCCAACUGUACGUCCUGAUCGUCUGCACAUUUCGUAAACCCUCAAAGAUCCCAAUAUGACCAUGAUUACCACUAUGGUCCACAAAAAUGAUGGAGCCUAGUAUCUCCAUCAAGAAGCAGAUGGUCGUACCCGCAUCAUUAAGAUUAUCGGUCUCCGCAGCUGCGAGUAACAUAUCUAGAUGAAACCAACCUGAUGCAUAGUAUUUCUCAUUCAGCUCCUGCUCAAAAGAUUACGCAUGGAUGCAACCAGCGCCACAUAAUGGACAUCGCCCUCUGAAGUAAGCUGGAUGCCCUGAAUAGGAAUAUGGAAUAAGUACAAAACAUCGUGCAACGUAAUUGUCAUCUCACAAACAACAUGUGAAAGGUGUUGGUGCUUGGCUGCCAUCUCUCAACAAAUGCCUACGGUGGAGGAAUAUCCAGUUUGGACGACAUAAUGGAACCAAGGUGUGAUAAUCCGGUGGCUUCCACUAACUCCCGAGCCCUAGCGCUGCUCCAAGGGAACUUCUCCAGCUUGCUCAGCCUCUGUUUGCGGUGCGGAUCCUGAAUUUUCAUGACAAUCUCGACUCUAAAUCGCUUGUCCAGAUGCGGUUGGCUACGUGACUACCAAAACUAGGGAUCAUAUUCGGUAUCUGUGCCCGCUAGGUGCCAACCCAAUGACGAGCAGAUUUUACCCCGCCAAUCAAAUACCCACUAGAUUGCUCCAAUGGAGUCGUAUUUCCCUCGGGCCUUACUAAUGCUAUUACUCAAAUUGAUUAAGCUAACUAAACCAAGUAACAGUGAAUGAUUGUUUGAUCAAUUGCUUUCGUCACCGAUUAUCAAAUAAGAAUGCAAAACAAAAGAAAGCAAAUGCAAGAGAUUGAGUUUCAAAUAUAGAAUGAAGGUUGUUCGAAUUCGAAUCCACUAAACUAGCAAUGCAUGGAUGAACAAUUUGCAAUCUCGAUUCAGGUUAUAACGGUUUAGUGAUUUCCUAUGAUAGUCUUAGAUCACUCACGUGCCUCUAAGAAUCUAUUUUGCUCGAUCGUAGACUCUUCUCUUGAGCUAAUCUACACCCAAGCAUAAUGCACUAAAGGUGUUUGAUGAAAUGCCACAACGAUAAACGAUGGAAAAAGGCUAAACGAUCCGUUCCUCUCUUGAGCUAACGGAUAAUCUAGAGUUCUUCCUAAGGGACCUAUUAAUCUAUAUUCCUUUCAGGCCCAUAAAUCAAUAACUACAAUUCAAUUAAGGCGGUCAAACGAAAUUGAAUUAGAAAUUAAGUUUAGCAAGAACACUUCAUAAGUCUGAAUAACCUCGAUAACAAAUUAAAAGAUUAAAAGCCCAUCAUCCAUACAAAAUCCAAGCUAAAGUUUCAUGUAAUCCAAACAACAAAAAAGGUUUAGCCGCUCAUUGUUUCAUAAAAUAAAUCACAAGAGAAGAAAACAAAAACCGGAGAAGAUGAUACGUGCUUCGUGGAAACCCCAAUCUUCAACUUGACGAUUCGCCCUUCGCCAAUUGUGGUUGAUCCUCUCACUUCAAUCGUCUCUCUGGAACUCUAGCUUUCUCUAAGAGCUCAAAAUAUGUGUAUAAUAAAGUUGGAUGAUGUCUAUUGAUGUCCCAACGGUUUAUAUAGACUUCUAGACCAAGUUGGAGAAGGAAAAGGCCAAAACAUCUGGUAAGAUGAUGUCUAUCGACGGCCGCGUGUUAUGCUUCCCGUAGUUGCUGCUCGCUAACACACGCCAUGUGUUAAAAUACACAGAUUUUGCUCUCUCCAACAACAUCAAAGUUGUAGGCCAUGGAAUUAUGUUUCCAAAACUCCUGACCUUGCAUCAAUCGGACUUCCAAGCAAUGCGUUAUGCCUAAAAUACUAAACUGCAACAUUUUCAUCCCAAGUCGAACGUACUGAGUUGUUCCAGCCUCUCCGAUAUGCCUUGAUUCAUCCCGAGAUGUAAUAUGACACCUGGAAUGUACAAAAAAUAUACAAAGCAAUGUCACACGGACCAAGGAGCCAAGGGGGACCAAAUAUGCACUAAACGUCAUGAAUCCAAACAUGUUAAGGCAUCCAAAUGUCCAAAAUUGUCAAUUAAAGACGGAACAAAUGGGAUAAUAAUUGGGCACAUCAUCCAGUAAGCCUCCACUCCUUGCCAGUGCUUGACUGGACCCCUAUAAAACGACAAGCUCUGCCACCUCUAGAGCCCAUAGUGGAAGAACCCCGAGAUGACCUACUAUCUGCUACCAGUGUACCGCCCCUCCCCUCCCAACUAGUUUCUUCCGCUAGCGUGUACUUGCAAGUAAUAGUGGAUGAAAUGUAGCAUCAUGAUCAUCGUUGAUAUGAGCUGAAACUCCUACUGAGACGAACAGGACAAUCUAUAAACUUCGGUUUCAAAAAAACUAACUAAAAUCCAAUAACCGGAUGGAAAGUUACUUAGCCGGCCAAUCAACUCAAGUUCAAAGCGAGGUCCAUGUCUCAAACGUGAAUGGUGCCACGAAGAAGCGAUGAUUGGCAGACUACGAUAUACGAGAAUCCUCUAUCCUAGCAACGGCGUGCUAUGAACAAGAAGAAUUUGAAAAAUAGCUCCAGGUCGAAAUUUACUUAAAACUUUAUAUAGGAGAGGUAGGCCACGAAAUUAGAAGGAAAUUAAGAAGGAGCCCUUGCCUUGCAAGGCAAGUAAUCCUUCUUCCUUAAGGAACACAUCUUGACUAGGUCAACCCUUACUCCUCAAAGAUAGAACUCGGCCAAAGAGCUCUUCAAGAGGGCUUCUUGGGCCUUAAUUAACAUUAUAACGUCUGAAUAGAAAGCGCAAAGUACUACUAAAACGCGAAUAAAAGAUAGAGGGCCACUUAAGCUCCAAAAUGGGCCUAGUGAGUCGUGCGCUUGGUGGAAGGUUUUAGACCAUGUCUAGGACUUGAACACCUCCAAGGCAGCCUCUUGGAUGUUUUGUAGACUUCUGGGUCGAGUAAAACUGGUCCGAGCUUGAAUGGAUGCAAGAGGCCUCGUUUCAGUGGCACCCACAUCACCGUAGCGAGUCCACUUGAGGCCUUGAGCCCGACUCUUGAUCUGGAUGAUCUGAAAGACUUGGAUGGGCUUCACUAUCUUAAAAAUACUUCUACUCAAGAGAUGGUUCAAGAAAAUUAUCUUUGUUUGAGCUCAGGCUCAAAUCUGCUUGAUAAGGAGAUCCGGGCGGGUGCGAUUUCGAGUGAUUUCGCACCUUUGUAUUCUCUACUGCUCUGAAUGCUCUCAAAGUUGGUGGAGGGUCUUCUUUUAUCAUAAUAUAUCUCUGCUCCAAAUAUAGGCCGAGGAAACUCUGCUCGUUUGCGUGUUCUUGAAGAAUCUUAAUUUUUAACGCGACACCGACAUCGAUGACACUCGUUGGCAUCAGUGCAACUCAUUCGAUCGCCAAUUCUUUGAGGAUGAACUUGUCUUCAUUAAUCCAUGACAGGGACAUCCUUGUUUCCAUCUUCGAUGGUCCUCCUCCAAAUGCUUGCUUUGGCUCCAAGGUUCUUCAAGUUUGGUGACAUUUCCGCUAAUGACUGGUCGAAACCUUGGCAACAUGGAAUAGGGCUGCUGGGUGGGUUUCAUCAAUCGUCCUCAGACUGCUCUCUGUCAAACGGAAUCUGGUGAUUGGCGCUGUCUGAGUCAUCUGGAAUAUCAUCAAUAUCAUAUGCCAUCUCUGCGUCCUAGCUAUCAAAAAAUCUCAUCAACCGUCAACUCUGUCCGAGCAGAAUGCAGAUGGGGUCUACAUAUAUCGAUCCAGGAAUCUGGACUUGCACACUCGACUGACCAACUUCCGCUUUGAUUUCUUUCCCUUUGCUUUUCCCGGUUGCUCUCUUCAAUUUGAGGUAGAAAUUGGACGGUUGUUAAACUGGAGCAACGAAUUGCUACGUGCUCCCAACAUCUUCACCAACUAUAUAUGAAAUUUAAAUCGUAACUACUAAUUAGAAAUGAACACUUGCCAUAAAUUUCACAUUUUAAUAUCCAAUCAACUAAUUAAGUAGUAUAUUCAUUCCGAGAACUACUAAUAAUGACUAAUUACCAAAUACAAAAAUAGUAAUUCCUAAAUAUUAUAUUCAUCUACUUAACUCCUAAUCAUGAUUAAUAACUAAUUUCUAAAUAUUUAUUAACUAAUUACCAAAUAUUCAUUUAUCAAAUAUUUAAUUUAUAUAUAUUUAUGAAUAUUUAAUUACUAAUUCAGAUCACCCUAAUCAAAUUUUAAAUCUAGACAAAUCUAAAUUAAAUAAAUUAUAAUUAUUUAAAAAACAGCAUGGCGCACAGAUUGUGCACCACCAGUAUGUCCAAACCACUUGUAAUGUGCGUCGGCGACAACAACGGCGCCGGUUAAUAGAUCCGGCGACCAAUAAUGGUGCCGACGUUAUGGUGACUGGUGAACGUAAGUGGCGCUGGCGAUGGUUGUUUUGGCGCAUUAAAAUGGCGCCGCUUGUAUUUUUUUCAAUUCUCUAACCUAGAUUUGAGGCAGCGUUGCGGAGCUGAGGCGGCGACGGCGGCGGAUCUGAGGCGGCGGUGGCGGAUACAGGACUGCGGCGGCGGAUCUGUGGUAGCGGCAGCGGAUACACGGCAAUGGAUCUGAGGCAUCAGCGACAUUGUAUCUGGGGUGGCAUCGAUAAAUUUGGGGCAGCGGCGGAUCUGGGGCUACGUCGGAGAUUGGGGGCGGUGGCGGCUACCCUGUGGUGGCGAUGGCGGUUCAACCUUGCCGGAGAAGGAGAUGGAGGUGAGUGUGUGGGUUUCCAGUUAGGUUAUGAAUUUGUUUAUGAUUAUAUCGUAUUUAUAUUUAAAUAUUAGACUCGAAGAGCAUUCAUAACCAUACAUAUCAAAUUGAAAUGCGAGGACGAUUUUUUCCACGAUCC
RNAcentral lists this long non-coding RNA (5887 nucleotides) under Linum usitatissimum (flax). RNAcentral's name for it is "long non-coding RNA (LUSI_LNC007859)". The record is from RNAcentral. Lineage: Eukaryota; Viridiplantae; Streptophyta; Magnoliopsida; Malpighiales; Linaceae.